Molecule: transfer RNA, 90 nt
Filed under: Actinomycetota bacterium
Lineage: Bacteria; Bacillati; Actinomycetota
Description: tRNA-OTHER
Source: RNAcentral
GGGCCUGUUUAUCGGCAUCGAACGACGCUGGGGGACCACGCGCACGGUUUCCGGGGCCGUGUGUCGCAGGUUCGAAUCCUGCCGGGCCCG